UUAAGUCAAAUUUGUAUGGAGUUGGAACGUUUGCCUUUGUUUGCUGCUAGGGGCACUGUUCCAGCUGCAUACAAAUUUCAGGUA
Bombyx mori (domestic silkworm) is the source of this 84-nucleotide non-coding RNA. The record is from Rfam. NCBI's taxonomy places the organism in Eukaryota, Metazoa, Arthropoda, Insecta, Lepidoptera, Bombycidae.